This 522-nucleotide ribosomal RNA is filed under the name Bacillus sp. M11-C1. Its description in RNAcentral is "bacterial SSU rRNA". It matches the Rfam family "Bacterial small subunit ribosomal RNA", at positions 1 to 496 of the family's 1533-position model. Lineage: Bacteria; Bacillati; Bacillota; Bacilli; Caryophanales; Bacillaceae. The record is from RNAcentral.
UGAGCUUGAUCCUGGCUCAGGACGAACGCUGGCGGCGUGCCUAAUACAUGCAAGUCGAGCGCAGGAAGCCGGCGGAUCCCUUCGGGGUGAAGCCGGUGGAAUGAGCGGCGGACGGGUGAGUAACACGUGGGCAACCUACCUUGUAGACUGGGAUAACUCCGGGAAACCGGGGCUAAUACCGGAUGAUCAUUUGGAUCGCAUGAUCCGAAUGUAAAAGUGGGGAUUUAUCCUCACACUGCAAGAUGGGCCCGCGGCGCAUUAGCUAGUUGGUAAGGUAAUGGCUUACCAAGGCGACGAUGCGUAGCCGACCUGAGAGGGUGAUCGGCCACACUGGAACUGAGACACGGUCCAGACUCCUACGGGAGGCAGCAGUAGGGAAUCAUCCGCAAUGGGCGAAAGCCUGACGGUGCAACGCCGCGUGAACGAUGAAGGUUUUCGGAUCGUAAAGUUCUGUUAUGAGGGAAGAACAAGUGCCGUUCGAAUAGGUCGGCACCUUGACGGUACCUCACGAGAAGCCGACUC